RNAcentral lists this transfer RNA (73 nucleotides) under Fibroporia radiculosa. RNAcentral's name for it is "tRNA-Trp (CCA) (tRNA-Trp-CCA-3-1)". It matches the Rfam family "tRNA". From Rfam's summary of the family: Transfer RNA (tRNA) molecules are approximately 80 nucleotides in length. Lineage: Eukaryota; Fungi; Basidiomycota; Agaricomycetes; Polyporales; Fibroporiaceae. The record is from RNAcentral.
GAACCCGUGGCACAGUGGUAGCGCGUGAGAUUCCAGAUCCUCAAGGUCAUCCGUUCGACCCGGGUCGGGUUCA